Molecule: long non-coding RNA, 1102 nt
Organism: Esox lucius (northern pike)
Lineage: Eukaryota; Metazoa; Chordata; Actinopteri; Esociformes; Esocidae
Exons: 4
Source: RefSeq, a predicted model, not a curated record
CAUGGCUCUGGCAAAAGACAUCAUCUCACCUUUUGACUGCAAGAACAUCCUGAGGGUUGCCCUUCCAGAUGUUCUCACUGUCAUGGCGAAAGAGAAGUCAAAAGAGAAGCAGGUCUUGACAAGUCAGGAGCAGCUCUGAUGCUGGAGCAUCUUCAACGGACUGGUGUUAUUGAACACAUGACUGUAUCCGAAUGGCUAGAAAGGAGAAAGGUAAAAAAGGAUGGAAAAGACUAUGUGAUAGUUGGUGUCAAGGAGCACAAAACAGAUACCAUCCAGGUGGCUACAUUCGCCCGUAUUCCUCAGCAGGAGAUGGUCUGUUUCAAACAUGUUGUUAUCAACAUCAUCCACAACAGUACCAGCAGACACAGCAUGUGCAGACUCUACACAAAUGGAGGAUCAGGUCACCUAUGACAAAUUCAUUAAGCACAUUUCUCUAGGAGGCAGCCAACACACAGAUGCAUUGGGAAUUGGAUUGCAAAACAAGGCUGGGUGGUCAACAUACCUGACCCUGAAGUAGUGCUUAGUUCAUGGGUGCCUGCUGAAAAGUUUAAUAAUGCAGUAUCUGAUGAUUAUGUUCAAAGUUUGGUGCUGUCUCAGAAGUGGAAAGGACUGGCAGUUGUCACGUUUGAGGGGAAGGGCAAAGGUGUAAUGACCACAAGGCCAUUCUUCAAGGGUGAAGUAGUCUGCGACUACUAAGGUGAGGUUGUCACACGAGCAGAAGGUCUAAAUCUCCACCUUUCUGCUGAGGAAAGCGAGAUUGGAUACAUGUUUUCUUUUUUAAAGAGUGCGGGGUUCCCAAAUGCAUCAAUGCAAGAUCACCUGUCUGUGCCUGCCAUCCAGAAAGGACUACAUUUGGCCGAUACAUUAACCAUUCUACCAGCAAUCCCAACCUCAAUGCACAAUUGACAUGUCAGGCAACAAGAACCCUGCAAUUCUCUUCUAUGCCACAAUGGACAUUAGGGUGAACAAAGAACUGAAGUUUGACUAUGGGGUGAAACGGCAAUCGUUUGUCGUGGAAGGGUUGGACCUUGACUGGCUAUAGUAUUUAUAAGCCAAGUAAUUGUGUUUCUUUCUAUUUUCAUUACUGUAAAGUAACCAGUAA